Molecule: small RNA, 725 nt
Filed under: Pongo abelii (Sumatran orangutan)
Lineage: Eukaryota; Metazoa; Chordata; Mammalia; Primates; Hominidae
Description: retained intron
Source: RNAcentral
UCGAAAUAUUUUUUGAAAGAGGUAAUUGUUGUAUAUCUGCUUUUCUUCUAAAAUAUUUCACAUAUAUCUGGUGGCUACUGUUUUAUGUAUGGAGAAGGUAAGGCAUUGAGAUUAACUUUCUCAUACUUACAAAAUGGGCUGUGUGUGGUGCUGAAAAUAAGACCGGUGUCCUGACUCCCAGUUUGUUUUCUGUGUAUUAGACCAGACUGCUUACUUAAAGUUUUAUUGUGCUAAAAAUCUGUUUAUAAGUUUGAGCUCCAUUUUUUUCUGUCCAUUAUUACAACAUAGAGAAGCACAUUCAUAUCCCCAGAGAAAUUUAGUGAUAUGCAGCAACUUUGUUUCACUCUUGACAUUACGUGUACAUUCUGUUAACAUUUUUUAUCUUAUGAUUGAAUGUUUCAGGUUUUCCUCCUCCACCAGGCGCUCCACCUCCAUCUCUUAUACCAACAAUAGAAAGUGGACAUUCCUCUGGUUAUGAUAGUCGUUCUGCACGUGCAUUUCCAUAUGGCAAUGUUGCCUUCCCCCAUCUUCCUGGUUCUGCUCCUUCAUGGCCUAGUCUUGUGGACACCAGCAAGCAGUGGGACUAUUAUGCCAGAAGAGAGAAAGACCGAGAUAGAGAGAGAGACAGAGACAGAGAGCGAGACCGUGAUCGGGACAGAGAAAGAGAACGCACCAGAGAGAGAGAGAGGGAGCGUGAUCACAGUCCUACACCAAGUGUUUUCAAC